Molecule: long non-coding RNA, 817 nt
Organism: Oreochromis aureus
Lineage: Eukaryota; Metazoa; Chordata; Actinopteri; Cichliformes; Cichlidae
Source: Ensembl
CUGGAACAUACGAGUGUCGCGUCAAGACAGGAAAUCAUCACAAGAAAAGAGCUAAUCUGGGUGGUGACCCCAUCAGCAUCAUCACACUGAGAGUUUUUCCUCCAUACCAGAAAGUCAUCACAGCUGAGCCUGGACAGAACGCCGCUUUGACAUGUCGAGCUCCAAACAACAACAGCAGCAUCACCGGUGUAGAGUGGAGCAGGGCUGACCUGGGAGAUGAAUAUGUCCUUUUGUAUCGGGAUGGGCGGUUCGAUCCAGAAAUCCAGCAUCCAUCUUAUAAGAACCGGGUGGAUCUGCAGGACAGACAGAUGAAGGAUGGAGACGUGUCUUUGAUUCUGAACGAUGUGACGAUUAAUGAUGCUGGAGCAUACGAGUGCCGUGUCAAGACAGGAACAAACAUAAGGAAAAGAGCAAAUCUAGAUGGUGACCCCAUCAGCAUCAUCACACUGAGAGUUGAUCCUCCAGGUCGACCAGAGGAUGGAUCUGUUGGAUUGAUCGUCGGUCUGAGUGUUACUGCUGUGCUUCUUGUUGCUGCUGUUGUUGGUUUUCUGGUCUACAAAAAACAUAAACAACAGCAGAGUCAGGAUUCAUACCAGCCUCCUGUUGAACUGUAGCAUGUUUGAAGAUGCAAGAGAUGCCUGUAUCACUAAGGCACCAAGCAGAGAUCUGACUUCAGAAACUAAAACAAUCACAUCCAUGUAGAAAACCAGAAGAGUUGCUUCAUUCCAAAGAGAUUUCACAGCAGAGACAAUGUUAAAGAAAAAGCCAACUGUUCCUCAAGUAAGAAAAAAUAACAGAUAAUCAAAAAGAAGAAAAA